CCUACGGGGCGCAGCAGUGGGGAAUAUUGCACAAUGGGGGAAACCCCGAUGCAGCAACGCCGCGUGAGUGAAGAAGUAUUUCGGUAUGUAAAGCUCUAUCAGCAGGGAAGAAGAUGACGGUACCUGAGUAAGAAGCCCCGGCUAACUACGUGCCAGCAGCCGCGGUAAUACGUAGGGGGCAAGCGUUAUCCGGAUUUACUGGGUGUAAAGGGAGCGUAGGUGGCAGGGCAAGUCAGAUGUGAAAACCCGGGGCUCAACUCCGGGAGUGCAUUUGAAACUGUCCAGCUAGAGUGCAGGAGAGGUAA
RNAcentral lists this ribosomal RNA (305 nucleotides) under uncultured bacterium. RNAcentral's name for it is "bacterial SSU rRNA". It matches the Rfam family "Bacterial small subunit ribosomal RNA", at positions 338 to 660 of the family's 1533-position model. The record is from RNAcentral.